This is a long non-coding RNA of Hippocampus zosterae (dwarf seahorse), 3072 nucleotides long. RefSeq lists it as uncharacterized. The record is from RefSeq and is a predicted model, not a curated record. Lineage: Eukaryota; Metazoa; Chordata; Actinopteri; Syngnathiformes; Syngnathidae. The transcript is spliced from 2 exons.
UUUAUCCAGCCAGUCUUGACCAAAAUGUUGUGCGUUGUCUCAUUUGAAGACAGCCUUUUUUUCUCCAUUCAGCUAUAGAGCUAAAAUUGUCAUUUACAGCCGAAUUAACUUUCUCACAAUCCAUAACGCAUCCCAAACCAGCAAGGUAUAUUUGCAAACAUUCAUUCAUUCAUCUUCCGAGCCGCUUGAUCCUCACUAGGGUCGCGGGGGGCGCUGGAGCCUAUCCCAGCUGUCUUCUGGCAGUAGGCGGGGGACACCCUGAAUCGGUUGCCAGCCAAUCGCAGGGCACACAGAAACGAACAACCAUUCGCACUCACACUCACACCUAGGGACAAUUUAGAGUGUUCAAUCAGCCUGCCACGCAUGUUUUUGGAAUGUGGGAGGAAACCGGAGCACCCGGGGAAAACCCACGCAGGCCCGGGGAGAACAUGCAAACUCCACACAGGGAGGCCGGAGCUGGAAUCGAACCCGGUACCUCUGCACUGUGAAGCCGACGUGCUAACCACUGGACUACCGGGCCGCCUAUUUGCAAACAUUGCAACAUUUUAGUAGUUGAACUGUCAGCUCACUCUAUCUCAUCUGAUUUAGUCUAUCAUUCAGAGGGACAACAUGUCAGUAGUAUUCAAACAACUAUUCACACUGACAUUUACACUUAACAGGUAAGUUAAGACUUCAACGAAUCAAACAUACUGAACUUAUUUUUGGACGCAAACCGCAGAAAGAACAGGCACUGUACUGGACUUUCCAAAAUUUAAAGCUCAUCUUGCUUUGGUCUGGGCACUGUGAGAUGUUUUGCCUUAUGUCAAACUAUGUGUUUUGUGUCUUUGUUGCCCGAGAUCUGUUCUAUACAGUGUUUUUUAUAUCCAACAAUUCAUCAUCUAAGUCGGUACACAAGGGAUGGGCGCUAUCCUAUAUUUUGGAUUUGAUAUGAAAGGCAAUGCAUUGUCUUGCAAUUUCAUCAAUACCGAUACCGACCAAUUCUUAUUGUUGCAUUUUUUUUCACUUAAGGGCAAAUCACAUGACAAAUACUUGUCAUUCACAUUAAAUUAAUUAUAUAGUAAAGAAUACCUACAAAUAAAAAAGUCAAAUAAAUAUCAUAAAUAUGAAUACGUAUAUUGGAAAAUGUAUAUUUAUUAUUCUAAGUUGAUUUGAACCAGAAAUGUCCAUUAUAAAUCAAUUUAUCCUCUUUAAAUCCCCUCUGCAAAGGUUUUGAUUCUUACUCAUCCAUUCCGAAUAAAACAAGUUAUUUUUAUACCUGCUUCGAUUGAGUGUUCAGACCUCUGAAAAUACAUGCAUAUUCAAACUCAUAAGUGUAGUUCUUACAUAAUUACUUCAUCAAUAUAUUCAAUAAACAUAAAACCAAUGUCUGCUUUCAGUAUUGAGGACAGGAGAGAAUGAUUGUCUUAACCCAGAGGUGGGCAAACUACGGCCCGUUGGCCAAAUCUGGCCUGUUGGUCUUUUUAAUCCGGCCCGCCGAAGGUGGCGCAUUGACUUGAAGUUGCAGAACAGGGGGGGGGGGUUAUCGACCACCUAGGACCUCUGUAUCGCUCUACUUCUACUGGUGUGAUCACAACCCAUCUGCAGCAAUGCACAGGCUAAAAAUAGGUAAACAACACUGUUGGCAUUUUAAAAAGUAUAUUAAUACAUUACUUUCAUGCUUUUGUUCUGUUAAUGUUUGAUAUGAACUGUCAACAAAUGCCGUUUUUUUUUGUACCAUAGCUCGUGCUGACCUGGCCCUUCUGUCAAAUUUUAAAAGUCAAUGCAGCCCCCCGAGCCAAAAAGUUUGCCCACCCCUGUCUUAACCUGAAGUGCGAAUUCUUUAUUGUGAUUCAAUAAACACACGGUCAGGGCACAUUUUAAAUUAAAUUUUGGCACCUUUGCUCACAGUACCAAUGAAUUAGAAACUAAACAGAAUAGCGCUAUGCAUAUACCGGUAAUUUCCAUCUAUAACCUGAACCACUUUAUUCUCACAAGGGUCACAGGCGUGCGGGAGCCUAUCGCAGCUAUAUUUGGGGAGUAGGCGGGGUACACCCUGAACUGGUUGCCAGGCAAUCGCAGAGCACACAUAAACAAACACUCAGUCACACCUAGGAACAAUAUAGAGUGUUCCAUAUACCUACUAUGUAUGUAUUUGGAAUGUGGGAGGAAACAGGAGUACCCAGAAAAACCCACGCAGGCUCGUUGUGAACAUGCAAACUCCACACAGGAAUGAAUCAAACCAUGGACCUCUGCACUUUGAAGUACAUGCGCUAACCAGUCAACCACGAUGCCGCCACGAUAGCUUCUAUAUUGAUCAUUCGAAGCACACUGAGACAAGAUUUUCCACCCUUCUUCUUGACUUAACGACAUUUACACAUGCGCACACAGACACGUUCGUAGGCAGCUGGGAUAGGCUGCAGCACAACCGCGACCGUCGUGAAGAUAAGCAGAUCAGAUGAUAGAAGGAUGGAAAUAAGAGAAUAAAGUGACGUAGAGAUUGUAUUGUACCGUCAACAUAAUUUUAGCAGCAUUAUUCCACUAAUUAUAAACUUGUCGUAUUGUAGGGAUCUUGAAGAAGAGUGUGGUGUUGUGGGUGGUGGCGGUUGCAGUCAGAGUCCAUAUAUUGUUAUUUAAAAGUCUUAUGGGCAGGAUAAAGAAACUUGCCCUGAAUCUAGAUGUCUGGGUGUUGCUCCAGAUUUCCACUGCCUAAAACGUUGCUCAUACCUCUCGGUCAUCUUUGUCAUUGGCCCUUGGUGUGAUGAUCAUGUUCCCAGAAAUAUCCUCAGCGCUUUUCUCUGCGUGUCCACUAGUUUAAAAAAUGGCAUUCUGAUUGAUAUUGUCUUUGCGGAAUAAUUUUUAAGUAUUAAAAUCCACCCAUUUUUAUGCAUCUCAGGGGCGGCCAUUAUGCCAUUUUCUGUCGGGUGAAAAUGACAUCACAGUUGCUCAGGGCUCGGGUAACAACCAAUCACGGCUCACCUGUUUUCUGACGUUGAGCCACCGAAAUGACAAUGAAGGACUGACAAUCACAGUUUUGCUUAUGCUUGAAAAUAUGACGGGUGCCCAGGAUGCUGACAAAUGACGGACUGGAAAAAU